Gadus morhua (Atlantic cod) is the source of this 451-nucleotide long non-coding RNA. RefSeq lists it as uncharacterized. The record is from RefSeq and is a predicted model, not a curated record. The transcript is spliced from 3 exons. Lineage: Eukaryota; Metazoa; Chordata; Actinopteri; Gadiformes; Gadidae.
CCCCAGUGGUGUGCCAUGCUACAGGCUUCUACCCUGACAGGGUGGUGGUGUUCUGGAGGAGAGACGGCCAGGAGCUCCAUGAGCAGGUGGACCCCGGGGAGGUCCUCCCCAACCACGACGGGACCUUCCAGGUCAGCGUGGACCUGGACCUCACGGCCGUCCCACAGGAGGACUGGGGGAGGUACGAGUGUGUGGUCCAGCUGAAAGGCAUCGAGGACAUCCCCACCCCCCUGGACCCCGCCCUCAUCAGGACCAACUGGGGGAAGACUGGGAGGGACGGAGGGCUCCCGGGGUCCUUCCCCGUCGCUGGCUCUGUGGCGGGGGCCCUCCUCCUGGUUGGAGCUCUGGUCCUGGCGGGAGUCUGUUGGUACAGGAAGAGGAACGGUUCAGCCAAACGUCCAGCAGCUGGUGAGUAACGUGUGUUUUUACUGCAGUUCUGCUCUCAUGAUUA